CGCACGGUAAAAAAGAAAAAAAAAAGAAACGAAAGAAGAAGAUAAGGCAGGAAAGACUCUCGCGUCUUCUCUCUUGUCCCUUCGCUUUCGCCUUCCUGCGAGUUCCACGGUGCGCCUCUGAGCUCCUCAAGCCCCUAGGGUUGCCGCAUUUCUGCGAUCUAGUGCUUUCCCCGCGUGACGAAAAGGAGUUUUAUUUCACCUAUACUAUGGUUGCCUGGUCGCUUUACACGUGAUGUUGUUUAUAUCUUCGGCUCUUUUUUCCCCACCCUGGUUGACACCACAUGAAGUGAUUAUCGUUUUUUGCUACUUUUGACUGGCUGGAUCUACAGAUACCUCCCCCCCUUUUUUUGGAUUUCUGCUUCCCUCGUCGGCAACAUCGACAUCGCCUGCCUUGUUCUUCCCCCUUCCUCACCCCCCCCCCCCCCCGUUCUCUACACAUGAAUAUUCUUUCUUUGGUCUGUCACUUUGAUUGUUUUGCUUAGUUCCUGCUCUUGUAUUUCUUUGUUGGUUUCCCCCUGGAGCUGUUGGGUCCAUGCGGAUUGCUAUCAUUGUCUAUUUGCUUUUUUAGGCGGGAUCUAUGGUUUUGUUGUUACUUCGGUUAGGUCUAUGGAUUUUUUCCCUUGCUUUUCUCCGUUGCUCACGUUUGCUGUCAUGCUUUCUAAUCUACCUGGUACAACAAUGGGAUGUGGUUCUUGCUUUGCCCUCCUGCACCCGCUCGGCCAUUCUUCCUGAUCGUCCAUGUAGAUGAAGGAGGGGGGAAAAAGGCAGAAACUGGGCCUACUCCGUGAUUUGUUGGUUUUCUUUCGGGUUAUUUUUUACCUGAUCAUCUGGGCAGAGGAAGGAAAGGGGGGAAAAUAGACGAAAUUUGGACUUAAUCUAUGAUGGGUAGAGGAAGGAAAGGGGGGAAAAUAGACCAAAUUUGGACUUAAUCUAUGAUUUGUUGGUUUCCUUCUGUUUUUUUAUUCGGUUCAAAUCUACGAUUUGUUGGUUUCCUUGCAUUUUUCUUGCAGUGAUGGACAACCAAAAGGGAUUGGUUACGACCUGCUUCCAUUCGGUGCAUUUAGUACAUCAUUAUUAGUGUUUUUGCUUUCUCCCCCCCCCCCCCCCCAUAGGGGAAAAACAGGGGGAAAACACACACACACCCGCACAGAGGAUGGCCGCCAUUGUUUGCUCAUUGUAGCAAUGUGAGACUAUUGCUUUUAAUUGUUUCCCCUUUUUCCCCUUUUUGCUCCAGGUUAAGUUUUGUCCCCGGCUUGUGACAUCGCUUGAUCAUGAAGUACUCUGCAGGGUUCCACUGUAUCAUCGCAUCAAUGCAGCCCCAUGCAAUUCAAGCGUACCAGGACAGUGAUCCUUCACCGUCAUCUUCAUCUACACACCACACGUGAUCUAGGCAUGGACGUCGCAGAGGUCGAAGUGGUGCUGCAGGUGAUUCUGUGCAUCACUCACCUUUAGUUAUGAACCCAGCUGAGUGUUGAUGCAAGCAGCGGAGAUUAUUAGAUCAGCAAAGAUUGGCGCUAACAGCAACACUAAAUGGUAAUAGAAUAUCGCUAGAAUGUGGCCACUUCAACCAAGAUUACAUCGACGCUCUAAAAGAAGAUUCAAUUAUGCUGCAACAUCACAGAACUCAAUAUGUUGCUGUCCAAAAUCACAUUAUACCAUGUUGCAUUACUACUCACUAAGAGAUGGACACUAUUUUGGAUGCAAUCAUCCAUAUGAACUGCAAGAUGCCAUUUGAUCUGCUCCCAAUGUUGCAUCCAAAGUCUAAACAAUGGACAAUCGACGCGUGUCAUGCAAGUGGGAAUACCGUGGUGGCACCGACGAUGGGCCAAUAGCCCAUAUUGACCUUGUUCUCGCAAACGAACAGGGUAAUGCCAUAUAUGCUGAAAUACCAAACUCAGAAACAAAAAUGAAUGACACUUUGCUUGAAGAAGGUGGUAUCUACAUUAUGAGCCGCUUUAGAGUCUACAAUUGUAAAUCCCUAUACAGGCCAGUCGAUGCACCUUAUAUGAUUGAAAUUACUUGCUACACCAAGAUAACUCCAGCAAGAGAUCCACCAGAAACAUUCCCAAGAUAUGUCUACAAACUCACACCCUUUGUUGAACUACCUCAGUAUGCCGGUGAAAACAAGAAUUU
This is a long non-coding RNA of Phragmites australis (common reed), 2133 nucleotides long. RefSeq lists it as uncharacterized. The transcript is spliced from 8 exons. NCBI's taxonomy places the organism in Eukaryota, Viridiplantae, Streptophyta, Magnoliopsida, Poales, Poaceae. The record is from RefSeq and is a predicted model, not a curated record.